RNAcentral lists this long non-coding RNA (2095 nucleotides) under Homo sapiens (human). RNAcentral describes it as "HSALNT0304218". Lineage: Eukaryota; Metazoa; Chordata; Mammalia; Primates; Hominidae. The record is from RNAcentral.
CCGGGUCUGUGCUGAGGAGAACGCAGCUCCGCCCUCGCAAAGGCACACAGCGCUGGCGCCGGCGAGGCGGAGAGGCGGCCAGCGGCGGAGAGGCGGACAGCGGCGGCGCGGCGGAGAGACGGACAGUGGCGGAGAGGCAGACAGCGGCGGCGAGGCGCGGAGAGGCGCUGGCGCCGGCUCUGGCGCGGAGAGGCGCAGGCCCAGGCUCCACUCCCCAGCUGUGAAAGGCUUCAACAUUGCUUUAUGGCAUGUGUGGUCGUUUUUCACUCCAUUGUUGUUGUUUACCCAGUUUAUGGGGGUUGUAAUGUUUAUCACACUCCUUGGAUGAUUUCCGAAGAUCACCCCAUCCUGAGAUCUGCUGCCUUACACAGUGGAGGCUGUUUUCUGAGUGUCGGAUAACUCUGUUAUUAAAUAAGUGCAUAUUGAGAAUACUCACUCCAGAUGCUUAGAGGCAUGUUGAGAAGGACAAAGAUAGUGCCUCCUGUCAGGUCACUUACAUCAGAACUUGCAGGAAACCUGCUUUAUACAGCAGUUGACAGGUGUGGAAAUUGAAGCUCAUGGAAAUGAAAGUUAAUACACUAAAUUUUCAAGGAGUUAAUGAAAACUGACAUUUCUGCUAAAAACAGCAUGUUCUCCCUGUGGGAUUUUAAAGGAAGGUCAAUGGUAACUGUACAAAGAAGAAAUGGACAUAGUCUCAUUGUUAGCAGUCUGAAAAUAGUUGCUAGCACCUCCAUGCCCACGCCAAUGUCUCCAGCCUCCUUCAAGCACCUUGCUGUGUCUUGGAACCAUUGGGAGCCCUCACAGGAGGCCCUUCGUUCCUGUAUGCAUGUGGUGCCACAAGCUGCUUUGGGCCCGGAGGAAUCCUACACAUCUCAGAACACUUCCUCACCUGACCCUGUCACCCAUCUCUCCCCUUCUCAUGUGCUCAGCCCCUUCUUUGACUCUUGAAUUUUGAGUUUUUACAGAUGUUUGGGAGCUCUUACUCUGACAUGAAUUUAUAAUUGUAAUGGAGACUCAGACAACGUUGUAGAUCACAGAGUGAACUAUGCUUUUUAGUGUUAAAUGCAAUAGCUUAAGAUAGAAUGUUUUACUUGUUACAUAAAUGCUGGUUUUCUUUCAGAUUUAAGGACAUAUACUUUAUUUUUUUAAGAGAUAGGGUCUUCUAUGUUGUCCAGGCUGGCUUUGAACUCCUGGGAUCAAGUGAUCCUCCUGCCUCAGCCUUCGAAGUAGUUGGGACUACAGGCCCACGCCACCGUGCAUGGCUGGACACGUAAAUUUGAAUUGAAUGGUUAAACAUCCAGCUAGCUGAAAGCAUGGCAGACCCUAACAGAAAAGCUACAGUGUGUUUUUGCAACUAUGAAGUGAAUGGUUUCCUGGGGAAAAUUGUGACUUUGUAUAACUAUUUUUGAAACCAGAAUAAAUUAUAUUUCACUUGCAUAUUCUUAAAUUAUUAAAAUUUUCAGAAGUCAGUGAUACAGAAAUACUAUUUUGCAAUGUUAAUCUGUUUGAGUCUUUGGAGAAAGUGGUUUCAUUGUAGGUACAUGAUGCACUCUUAAUAUUUUAAACAAAUAGUUCACUCUUCCAUUUAAGGGAUAUCAGUUCCUUGUAUAAAAUGACUGGAUAUGUAUAAAGCAAUUAUGUUGUCAUGUGCCUUUAACCAGCUUUAGUAAUUACUAUAAUCUCAUAUUUAUGAUAGUUUUGUUAGGUGACAGGACCAAAUGAAAAUAUUUUAUGUUUUCCCAUCACUUUAGAUUUUAUCAUUGUGUAAAUUACUGGGUUUUUAGCAUUUCCUAAUGUGAAGUUUUAAUCAUUUUUAAGUAUACAUAUUUUUUUUCUGUACCAUUUAAAUAAAAUAUUUUUAUAACUUUCUUGUGAGUUUUGUUCAUGCAAACUUUGGAAUGACUUCUGGUUUUUAGCUAUUAGCACUUUGAAUUAACCAUAGAAAUAACAAGGGCUAACUCUGUUCUUCAAAGACUUUAUAAAGACAGUAUUUGCACUUUCAAAUGCAAAUAUAUCUACAUUAAAUCUAAACAGCAUAAGCAUUGUGACAGAAUGUACCUCAUGUUGAUUGUUUUCUCUGUAAGGUGACUUCUAG